CUUUCUGUGAACACACCUUUGGCAAGUUGUUUUACAAUUUUUUUGUGCCCUUGGUCAGCCUGGAAGACUAUGGCUAUGUGAUCAGAAUGACAGCUGGCACCUUGUGGCCCAGCCAUGGGGGCUGGAGCAAGUGCAUCAAGAUAAGGCAGCAACUUCUCCAGGGCUCUCCCUGCCAGAGGACUGGAAAUUCAUUUCAGAGUCAGGAGUUCCAAAGAGCACCACCUGCUUCAAGGCAGCUCUGAGCUGAGUUUCCACUGGACGAGAGGAGGAGGAAGGGCCAGAGGACAAACAUGUUAAGAAAACCUUCCAAACUGAUAGGGACAGAGUCAUAUUUUCCAAGUCACAUCAACUGAACAAAGCAAGUCUCUGAAUCAGGACACCAGACUGCUCCCUGACAUUUCCAGGGGUUCCUGAGGAAGGCUCCCUCCAUGUUCAUCCACCUCAGGGGUGUCCUGCAAAGCCCUCUGGAGAACCAGCUUCAGGGUUUGUUGCUUCCACCAUCGCUGCCUAAAGGAGCCAACAAAGAAGUAAAUGACAGGGUUGGCACAGCUGUUGACACAGGACAAAAGAAAGACAACUAGGUAAAGAUGAAAUAAAGCAUCAAUAUCUUUUUGAAACCAGACUAAGAGAAACCAGUGGAUGCCGAAGGGCAGGCCACAGAUGAGGAAGACCAGCACUGUGAGCCCCACCGUCACAUAGAGCCUGGUCAGCUGCACCCGUGAAGAGCCACACAGCAGUUUGGUCAACAGGGCCAGGCUGGACCCAGAGAGAAUCACAAACAGCAAAAUCAGCCAGGCAACAAUGAUGAAAUCAAAUGCCGGACACCAAGAGUGAUGUAAAUCCCUAUUCAGGAAGCCACAGUAGCUCCCUUCCAGGAUGCUCAGCAGCAGGGACAGGGCCCAGAGCAGGGCACACAUGACAGUUGACAUGCGUCUUGGGCGGCGGCAGCGGUACCAGAUGGGCCACAGGAUGGACAAGCAGCGCUCCGUGCUAAUGGCGCUGAGAAAGCUCAGGCCUGCAAUGUAGGCAAAGAUGGAUGCCGUGACAAAAAAGUCUGGGAAGGACUUGAAGAUGGAAUAGAAGAACUUGAUGAGUGUCUCCAGGGCAUGCAAAAUAGAGCAAAAGAGUAAGAUGAAGUCAGCUGCCGCCAGGUUGAGGAUGUAGAUGGAGAAGGCGUUCCUCCUCAUACAGAAGCCCAGGAGCCAGAGCACAGUGGCGUUUCCUGCCAGCCCAACCAGGGCAGUGAUGAAGAUCGGCACAUACCAAAUCAGGUCUUUUGAAUGAAGUUCAGUUAAGGCGUGGUCACUUUCAUUCAUGGGCUCUAGUGUGGUCCCCCAGGCUGCGACAGAUGUUUCUGAGCUCCGAAACCCUCCACUGGUACCACUGGAACAGAAACAGGACUUGAGCACCUGGUACAUGAUCACUGAGUCUCAUGGCCACCCUGCUCCUGGGAGGAACUACUGUCUGUGCUACAGAGGAGGGAGAUGGAGCUUUGUAGUAGUGAGUAAGUCACCAAAGAUUUUACAGCCUUGGAGCCCAGAAGGUGUAUUCGAACCCAGUUCUCUCUGACUGUUAGAGUUGGGGCUCUUCCUACUACAACACAGACCCUGUACUGAGUGGGCAUAGUUUAUGGUCCAAACACCUCCAGGCACAGCCCUAGGCCAUGUUGUGUCUGCAGGAAGCAGGAGGAGAAAGGCCUGCACAGGGUGUGUGGAUGACAAGAGGACUCUGAUCUCAGCACCACGUCUGCCCUGGGACUGAGAUUUCCUGUGAAGGGCUAGAAGCUGGGAGCCCUAGAUGUGACCUCUGGGCUAUCUCAGUGACUGAGAUGUCCAUCCCCCAUAAAGGAGAGCAUGAUUUAGGGUUGUAACUCGUACACAACCUCUUACUAUGAGGGGUGUGGGUGUAGCCAGGCCUCUUGGUGUUGGAGGUGGUGGAGUGUGUCAUCUUCAUGAAGAAGACAGGAAGCACUGCUGUUCAGUGGUGUGUCCAGCUAUAUGUGCCCUACACAGGUUACGUCACUCUCACAAUGGGUUUCUUCUUAGAGCAGUGAAAAUCAUAAACGUGAAAUACUUAUCAAUGACAUUGUACUCCCACCUUGUUAAGUGAAACCUACAUUGCAUUCUUAAGACAUUUAUGAUGAUAGUGUCAGAUUAUCCCAAAGAAGUAACACCCAAUAGAGGUGCAAAGAGUCAAACAAAGAAACUGAGGAGAUAUAGUGAGAACUUGAGGCAGUCACCCUGUGAGAGGGAGAAGAAGAGAGGAAAUCCAAGGAAAACGAAGAGUUAGGAGGUCAAGAGAAGAGAUGGAUUUUUUCUUUUACCAUCAAAUAUCAUUUCUAUCUCCUCUACCCUCCUCUGCAUCAUAGGAGGACCGGCUUGUUUCCCUCACCACUGGGCUCCCUUUCCCUCUGGCUCCUGGCUGCUCUCAGGAAAGGGAGACGCUGACAGGUGAUUGGAAGGCAAGAGGAGGGUGACUGGGGUUGUAACUCCCUGGCUCUCAGCUCCAGGCUGUCAGUUGCCCAAGGUGGUGUUAUUCUGACUAACCAUAGUCCUUGUCUGGUGGCUUUUCUUAUGGUCACGGUGACACCCAUAGCUAUAGCCACAGCCAUCCCUGAGUUCUGCUAACUUGUCUUUCCCUUUAACCUUCAGUAUGUGCAAGGACUACAGCUCUUAAGUAUGAUUUAUAUUGGGGGCCUACACACCCUUUAUCGAUUUCCCUUAUCCCUGCUCACACCUUCAUACACAGUCCCUUUAUCACACUCUUCUUAGUAACCUCAUUUUGUUGUGCCCUGUAUAUUCUCCUGCGAUGAACCAGAUAGAAGGAAUAAAAAAACAAUGGAAAAAAACCUCACAAACCUUGGAACAGUAAGCUAAUCUAUGAAACCUGAAGUUAUUAAAACUAUUUAGUUGAAAACAACAUCAAUGGAGCAGAAGGGACCUGGUGGGCCCUGUGUGGAUCGCCCACAGUCUACACUACCAGCACCCAAAACUUCCCUGAAGGGGCACCUGACUCUGGACUCUCACAGAUGGAUCCCAUGGCUCCCUGUGUCCCCCACCCAAGGUGCAACCUUGAGCAUGUGGACUCAGAGGGACUAAACAAAACUGCAACUGAAAGAAGAUAGUUCAGAGCUGACUCUUACCUUACUGCCAUCUUGAAGUUCAAGGGUGAGAAUAGACAAGGAAGAGCUCCCAGGGAGUGCCAAAAACCAGAGAAUGUUCUUCCAGCCUUUGAUUAGGAGGUGCCUGCAGGAGCAGGAGUGAACCCUGAAGACCAGAAGAGGCUUAUCAAGAAACUGCACAGCCCCUGUAAUUUCCUGCACCAGGGGCACUGGCAGAUAAGAUUCUGGAGAUUAAGACAAGAGCUUCAUGGGAUGGGUCUCAUUUGUCCUGACUCCAAUGACUUAUCUCUUCCUCUCUGCAUCUUACCCACUCUGGUCCCCCUCCCUGUGAGGGAUGGCUGUCCUGGAGCCAGCUGCUGUCCCCUGUGAGCCUGUGCAAGAAACCCAUCCACCAGGCAAUGUGGGCUUCUGUAGCUGAAGAAGAGUUUGCUUGGCAUUCA
This is a long non-coding RNA of Artibeus jamaicensis (Jamaican fruit-eating bat), 3561 nucleotides long. RefSeq lists it as uncharacterized. The record is from RefSeq and is a predicted model, not a curated record. The transcript is spliced from 3 exons. Lineage: Eukaryota; Metazoa; Chordata; Mammalia; Chiroptera; Phyllostomidae.